GACGAACGCUGGCGGCGUGCUUAACACAUGCAAGUCGAACGGAAAGGCCCUGCUUUUGUGGGGUGCUCGAGUGGCGAACGGGUGAGUAACACGUGAGUAACCUGCCCUUGACUUUGGGAUAACUUCAGGAAACUGGGGCUAAUACCGGAUAGGAGCUCCUGCUGCAUGGUGGGGGUUGGAAAGUUUCGGCGGUUGGGGAUGGACUCGCGGCUUAUCAGCUUGUUGGUGGGGUAGUGGCUUACCAAGGCUUUGACGGGUAGCCGGCCUGAGAGGGUGACCGGCCACAUUGGGACGGAGAUACGGCCCAGACGCCUACGGGAGGCAGCAGUGGGGAAUAUUGCACAAUGGGCGGAAGCCUGAUGCAGCAACGCCGCGUGCGGGAUGACGGCCUUCGGGUUGUAAACCGCUUUCGCCUGUGACGAAGCGUGGGUGACGGUAAUGGGUAAAGAAGCACCGGCUAACUACGUG
RNAcentral lists this ribosomal RNA (468 nucleotides) under uncultured bacterium. Its description in RNAcentral is "partial 16S ribosomal RNA". It matches the Rfam family "Bacterial small subunit ribosomal RNA", at positions 28 to 507 of the family's 1533-position model. The record is from RNAcentral.